UACGUAGGGGGCAAGCGUUGUCCGGAAUUAUUGGGCGUAAAGAGCGCGUAGGCGGUCCGAUAAGUCGGCUGUGAAAGUCAGGGGCUCAACCCUUGGAAGCCGGCCGAUACUGUCGGACUAGAGUCCGGAAGAGGCGAGUGGAAUUCCCGGUGUAGCGGUGAAAUGCGCAGAUAUCGGGAGGAACACCAGUGGCGAAGGCGGCUUACUGGUCCGGUUCUGACGCUGAGGCGCGAAAGCGUGGGGAGCAAACAGG
This 253-nucleotide ribosomal RNA is filed under the name uncultured bacterium. RNAcentral's name for it is "partial 16S ribosomal RNA". It matches the Rfam family "Bacterial small subunit ribosomal RNA", at positions 524 to 776 of the family's 1533-position model. The record is from RNAcentral.